RNAcentral lists this non-coding RNA (29 nucleotides) under Rattus norvegicus (Norway rat). The record is from RNAcentral. Lineage: Eukaryota; Metazoa; Chordata; Mammalia; Rodentia; Muridae.
UGCCACAGCCUUGACAUUGUCCAUGGAGA